CAGGAGAAGGAAAAUCAUUUCUCACACCUACUAUAUGACUGAAGAUGUUCCCAGUGCACAGCAGCUGCCUGCACACCUGUCUGCAGCCUACAGAAAUUGCGAGGCCCAGUUCAUUCAUGGGAAAGCCCAAAAGAGGCUAUCAGGUUUCCACUGGGACUGGGUAUGGCCCACAGAAAUGAGACUGUGCCCAUCCCCUGCUCCAGGGAGGUGGCACAGCACUGGUGAGAGUGGGGGAGAAGAGUGAAGACGCACUGCAAGCACAGCCCUCAGCAGUGGCCAGUUCAAGCCACAGCAGAACACAUUUCAUUGACCGUGGGACAAGCAGUCGUGGAACAGGGAGAGGAGAAGUACCGCCAAGUUGGACACCAUACAAAAACAGAAUCAAGGACGUGGCGAGGCGUUUCCCGCUUGAAAAGCAAACAAGGAAGAUCUCAUGCCUUUGCAUCUGUGUCAGCAUGACAGGACUGCCCCCGGCUGAACAAGUUGCCAGCCCCUGACAAUUAUAACCCUGGUAAUCCACAUCAUCCCAGGUAGAUGAAGCGCUCAGGUAAAAAUAGCAAACAGGUCAGAAGGAGGUUAUAGAAAUACCAGAGGAUUAUUCAUAUUCCUUCAGGUAGCUAUAAGGAACAGUUUAAACACAAGAAUGACAGAUUAGAGUUGUCGCUGACAGAGAGAAAUGACUUCUCUGAGGACUAAGCUACAUUCAACCUUCUUUCUUUUGGUGUACAAGCCAAAGUCUUUUUCAAAUGGAGCCAGCCAUAAAGAAGUAACCAAAAAGUGGCAUGCACGGUCCUUCUGCAUCACUGGUCAUCUGAAAGCAAGGUGGGGAUACAAACAAGAGUCUCAGGCUGCCUUGCCCUAGACAUGCUCCUCUGAAGUGCUGCACACAUGGGUCUGAGCAGGGACACUACUGGGGCUAUGGAGAGGAGCAAAGUAGAGUGGUAGUAGAUUUUGCAGCACUACUCAAGACCUGAAAGAUAAGAGAGCCUGAGAGCAAGACUGUGAUUUGUUAUAUUUUAUCCAUUUGUAAGUAUACAAAUCCUGGUCUCAGAAGUUAUAAACUUACAGUAACAGUGAAGUGAUCUCAGCUGCAUUGCUCAGAUUUGGCAGGAGGGGGACAGCUCUCCAGUCUUCAGAGUACAGCAGAGUUACUUGGGGGAUAGUGUCAAAGUGCACUUAAGAAAUGAUAUUUCAUGCAUCCAUUGUGCUAAGUGAAGACAGUAGGCAGACACAGAGAAGAUAGA
This 1244-nucleotide long non-coding RNA is filed under the name Anser brachyrhynchus (Pink-footed goose). Its description in RNAcentral is "lncRNA (ENSABRG00000009071.1)". The record is from RNAcentral. Lineage: Eukaryota; Metazoa; Chordata; Aves; Anseriformes; Anatidae.